RNAcentral lists this long non-coding RNA (513 nucleotides) under Homo sapiens (human). RNAcentral describes it as "non-protein coding SAMMSON:1". The record is from RNAcentral. Lineage: Eukaryota; Metazoa; Chordata; Mammalia; Primates; Hominidae.
GAGGAAGGCGGGUCCCUGGCUCGGCUCUACCCCCAUGGAUCUAGGUGGGCUCAAUGUCAUCACAAGGGUGCUUAAGAGGGAAAGAGGAAGCCAUGAGGGUCAGAGUCAAAGGAAGACUUGAAGAUACUACACUGCGGACUUUAAAGAUGAAGGAAGGGGCGAAAACCAAGAAUGUGGGAAGCCUCUAGAAGCUAGAGAAGGCAAGGAAACAAAUUUUCCACUAGAGCCUCCAGAAGGAACACAGCCCUGCUGACCCACUGUAAUGUCUGACCUCUAGAUGUGUAAGGGUAGUAAGACUGAAAGUCUCAGAAAGGCACUGUUAAAUUCUUAUUCCUCAACUAUGCAACUCAAAACUGGGGUCCUCAGCAGUGAGCGAGGGGUGAGAGAAGACACUGUAUAAACAUGGCACAUCCUCCUGGAAAGUCAACUUUACUCAAAGCUUUAGAAACCCAGCUCAAACUAGCUGAAGCAGAAAAGACAUUACUGCGCCUAUAAGUUGAAACUUUGGAGGGA